AUAUGGUUGCCAAGGUUGCUGGACUGUUUUGCUAGUUCUUUGGAAACAAGUAUCCUUAUAUGAUCUUAUGUGCUUCCAAACUGGUAUUGGACUGUUUUGUUGAGGGGGAUGUUGUUUCACGUUUCCCCUACGUUUUGAGCUAUUUUGUGACUAUGUUAAGGUUUAUUUGAUGUAUAUAUAUGUUGGGAGCAUCUGGUUCAAAGUUGGGACAAGUAUGAAUUGUUAACGACGAAAUGUAGGGAGACGACGAGAUGUUGUGCUUCUUAGUUGAGCGUUUUGUAAAAUGGUUAUGUGUUGUAGUUAUGGACUGUUGCCAGCAUGUUAUAGAACUAAUAUAGGCUGUAUACAUCAUGUAUAUGAUAAUCUAUGCUGGUUGAAUACAGUUAGAAUUGAGAAAGUCGGAAUAACACCAUUGAGUUGAUGGUUAUACGUUUGUUGCCAAAGUGUUGUGUCUUGUGAGAUUGGGCUGUCCAGAUGCAUUGAUUAGCUGCUAAUACUAGCUUUAAAACAUGAUAUUGUAGAUAAAUAGUUGGAAGAAAAGAAGUCAUUUCGACGUAAAAACAAGUUGAUAUGUCGAGGUAUGUAAGGCUAUUCGAUCUCUUAUUAUUUGGCAUGGAAUCCAAAGUCUUCAUUGGCACAUAGAGAUCUUUACAAACUUUGACAUAACCACUCCACUCUUUAACAUGUACUUGUGUGUCCAGAUUCGAGCAUUGUCACUGCUGCAUACAUACAUUGGGUACCAUGACAUAUGAGUCUUCUUUUUAGCUAAAUAAAGUUCAUACGUUGUUUAUGUCCUACAUGUUUCACUAAUUGUACAACCCACUCUUUUCAUUAUGAUAUGAUGUUACAUGGACACAUACUUGUCAUUUGUCAUGCUUAUAGUCUUAUAGCUCAAAUGUUACGACCACCAAAGAUUCAUCUCAAAAGUAAUAAGAAGAUAUAUGUAUACAGUUGCUUCUGUUGGGUGGUAUCCCAGGGGUGAAAGAAUCACCUAGCAUGGGUCAAUCCCAGUAUUACAGGGGGUAUCCCAGGGGUGAAAGGAAAGCCUAGCAUGGGUCGAUCCUGAUAUAGAAUUACCACUGAUCAGCUGGUCAUUUGUAUUACAUGCUGUGCACAGAUUAUUCAAGUAAUAAGAGUAAAGUAACAUAAUUGUUAUAAGAUACAUGACUCCACAAUAUUCAUAAAGGUGGUCUUUUACCCUACAGCAGUACAUGGUUUCAUUUGAGUUUUUAUCUCAUAUAUAGUACAUGUUGCCUUACAUAUUCAGUACAUUAUUUCGUACUGACGUCCCUCUUGGGGGACCUGCAUUCCAUGCUGCAGGUACAGAAGCUAAUAAACCUCCCUAGUAAGAGUACAGGAUAUCAACCGCAGUCACUGAGCUCCAGGUUGCUUCGGGGCUUUGAGUCUUAUCAUAUCUUUUUGCAUUGUAUAGUAUCUUAUCAUGAGGCGGGGCCUGUCCCGACCCUUAUAAGAUAACGUUUCUUGUCUAGAGGCUUUGUAGACUACGUAAAGUAUAGUAUGGUCAUGUAUCGUACCGUAGACAUUGUGGCUCCAACGGCCUAGUCAUAUAAUAUCUUUUGGCUUGCUAGUCCUAUUUAUCUUUUGAGGGCAUGUUUAGUAUGAAAGUAACUUAUAAUGUUCAUAGGUAAUGUAUCGCUACAGGUUGGUUCUCCCGAGCCUUACCGGCAACGGGUGCCAGUCCGCCUUAAUAGGAUUUGGGGCGUGACAAUACUGAUCCAACAGAUAACUCAUUUUGCAAAAGAUGAGUGAUCUAUUUUAGUAGAUAAGUGAUAUGUUUUUAUUAUUUCUAAUGGAUUACUUAUUUUCUGCAACAGGUUGGUUAUAGGUUGCAACAGAUAAACUACAUGGUGCAACAGAUGAGUGAUCUAUUUUUAUUAUUUUCAAAGGAUUGCUCAUCUGCUGUAACAGGUAGGUUAUAAGUUGCAACAGAAAACCUACUUGGUACAACCGAUGAGUGAUCUAUUUUUAUUAUUUUCAAAGGAUUGCUCAUCUGCUGUAACAGGUAGGUUAUAAGUUGCAACAGAAAACCUACUUGGUACAACCGAUGAGUGAUCUAUUUUUAUUAUUUUCAAAGGAUUGCUCAUCUGCUGUAACAGGUAGGUUAUAAGUUGCAACAGAAAACCUACUUGGUACAACCGAUGAGUGAUCUAUUUUUAUUAUUUUCAAAGGAUUGCUCAUCUGCUGUAACAGGUAGGUUAUAAGUUGCAACAGAAAACCUACUUGGUACAACCGAUGAGUGAUCUAUUUUUAUUAUUUUCAAAGGAUUGCUCAUCUGCUGUAACAGGUAGGUUAUAAGUUGCAACAGAAAACCUACUUGGUACAACCGAUGAGUGAUCUAUUUUUAUUAUUUUCAAAGGAUUGCUCAUCUGCUGUAACAGGUAGGUUAUAAGUUGCAACAGAAAACCUACUUGGUACAACCGAUGAGUGAUCUAUUUUUAUUAUUUUCAAAGGAUUGCUCAUCUGCUGUAACAGGUAGGUUAUAAGUUGCAACAGAAAACCUACUUGGUACAACCGAUGAGUGAUCUAUUUUUAUUAUUUUCAAAGGAUUGCUCAUCUGCUGUAACAGGUAGGUUAUAAGUUGCAACAGAAAACCUACUUGGUACAACCGAUGAGUGAUCUAUUUUUAUUAUUUUCAAAGGAUUGCUCAUCUGCUGUAACAGGUAGGUUAUAAGUUGCAACAGAAAACCUACUUGGUACAACCGAUGAGUGAUCUAUUUUUAUUAUUUUCAAAGGAUUGCUCAUCUGCUGUAACAGGUAGGUUAUAAGUUGCAACAGAAAACCUACUUGGUACAACCGAUGAGUGAUCUAUUUUUAUUAUUUUCAAAGGAUUGCUCAUCUGCUGUAACAGGUAGGUUAUAAGUUGCAACAGAAAACCUACUUGGUACAACCGAUGAGUGAUCUAUUUUUAUUAUUUUCAAAGGAUUGCUCAUCUGCUGUAACAGGUAGGUUAUAAGUUGCAACAGAAAACCUACUUGGUACAACCGAUGAGUGAUCUAUUUUUAUUAUUUUCAAAGGAUUGCUCAUCUGCUGUAACAGGUAGGUUAUAAGUUGCAACAGAAAACCUACUUGGUACAACCGAUGAGUGAUCUAUUUUUAUUAUUUUCAAAGGAUUGCUCAUCUGCUGUAACAGGUAGGUUAUAAGUUGCAACAGAAAACCUACUUGGUACAACCGAUGAGUGAUCUAUUUUUAUUAUUUUCAAAGGAUUGCUCAUCUGCUGUAACAGGUAGGUUAUAAGUUGCAACAGAAAACCUACUUGGUACAACCGAUGAGUGAUCUAUUUUUAUUAUUUUCAAAGGAUUGCUCAUCUGCUGUAACAGGUAGGUUAUAAGUUGCAACAGAAAACCUACUUGGUACAACCGAUGAGUGAUCUAUUUUUAUUAUUUUCAAAGGAUUGCUCAUCUGCUGUAACAGGUAGGUUAUAAGUUGCAACAGAAAACCUACUUGGUACAACCGAUGAGUGAUCUAUUUUUAUUAUUUUCAAAGGAUUGCUCAUCUGCUGUAACAGGUAGGUUAUAAGUUGCAACAGAAAACCUACUUGGUACAACCGAUGAGUGAUCUAUUUUUAUUAUUUUCAAAGGAUUGCUCAUCUGCUGUAACAGGUAGGUUAUAAGUUGCAACAGAAAACCUACUUGGUACAACCGAUGAGUGAUCUAUUUUUAUUAUUUUCAAAGGAUUGCUCAUCUGCUGUAACAGGUAGGUUAUAAGUUGCAACAGAAAACCUACUUGGUACAACCGAUGAGUGAUCUAUUUUUAUUAUUUUCAAAGGAUUGCUCAUCUGCUGUAACAGGUAGGUUAUAAGUUGCAACAGAAAACCUACUUGGUACAACCGAUGAGUGAUCUAUUUUUAUUAUUUUCAAAGGAUUGCUCAUCUGCUGUAACAGGUAGGUUAUAAGUUGCAACAGAAAACCUACUUGGUACAACCGAUGAGUGAUCUAUUUUUAUUAUUUUCAAAGGAUUGCUCAUCUGCUGUAACAGGUAGGUUAUAAGUUGCAACAGAAAACCUACUUGGUACAACCGAUGAGUGAUCUAUUUUUAUUAUUUUCAAAGGAUUGCUCAUCUGCUGUAACAGGUAGGUUAUAAGUUGCAACAGAAAACCUACUUGGUACAACCGAUGAGUGAUCUAUUUUUAUUAUUUUCAAAGGAUUGCUCAUCUGCUGUAACAGGUAGGUUAUAAGUUGCAACAGAAAACCUACUUGGUACAACCGAUGAGUGAUCUAUUUUUAUUAUUUUCAAAGGAUUGCUCAUCUGCUGUAACAGGUAGGUUAUAAGUUGCAACAGAAAACCUACUUGGUACAACCGAUGAGUGAUCUAUUUUUAUUAUUUUCAAAGGAUUGCUCAUCUGCUGUAACAGGUAGGUUAUAAGUUGCAACAGAAAACCUACUUGGUACAACCGAUGAGUGAUCUAUUUUUAUUAUUUUCAAAGGAUUGCUCAUCUGCUGUAACAGGUAGGUUAUAAGUUGCAACAGAAAACCUACUUGGUACAACCGAUGAGUGAUCUAUUUUUAUUAUUUUCAAAGGAUUGCUCAUCUGCUGUAACAGGUAGGUUAUAAGUUGCAACAGAAAACCUACUUGGUACAACCGAUGAGUGAUCUAUUUUUAUUAUUUUCAAAGGAUUGCUCAUCUGCUGUAACAGGUAGGUUAUAAGUUGCAACAGAAAACCUACUUGGUACAACCGAUGAGUGAUCUAUUUUUAUUAUUUUCAAAGGAUUGCUCAUCUGCUGUAACAGGUAGGUUAUAAGUUGCAACAGAAAACCUACUUGGUACAACCGAUGAGUGAUCUAUUUUUAUUAUUUUCAAAGGAUUGCUCAUCUGCUGUAACAGGUAGGUUAUAAGUUGCAACAGAAAACCUACUUGGUACAACCGAUGAGUGAUCUAUUUUUAUUAUUUUCAAAGGAUUGCUCAUCUGCUGUAACAGGUAGGUUAUAAGUUGCAACAGAAAACCUACUUGGUACAACCGAUGAGUGAUCUAUUUUUAUUAUUUUCAAAGGAUUGCUCAUCUGCUGUAACAGGUAGGUUAUAAGUUGCAACAGAAAACCUACUUGGUACAACCGAUGAGUGAUCUAUUUUUAUUAUUUUCAAAGGAUUGCUCAUCUGCUGUAACAGGUAGGUUAUAAGUUGCAACAGAAAACCUACUUGGUACAACCGAUGAGUGAUCUAUUUUUAUUAUUUUCAAAGGAUUGCUCAUCUGCUGUAACAGGUAGGUUAUAAGUUGCAACAGAAAACCUACUUGGUACAACCGAUGAGUGAUCUAUUUUUAUUAUUUUCAAAGGAUUGCUCAUCUGCUGUAACAGGUAGGUUAUAAGUUGCAACAGAAAACCUACUUGGUACAACCGAUGAGUGAUCUAUUUUUAUUAUUUUCAAAGGAUUGCUCAUCUGCUGUAACAGGUAGGUUAUAAGUUGCAACAGAAAACCUACUUGGUACAACCGAUGAGUGAUCUAUUUUUAUUAUUUUCAAAGGAUUGCUCAUCUGCUGUAACAGGUAGGUUAUAAGUUGCAACAGAAAACCUACUUGGUACAACCGAUGAGUGAUCUAUUUUUAUUAUUUUCAAAGGAUUGCUCAUCUGCUGUAACAGGUAGGUUAUAAGUUGCAACAGAAAACCUACUUGGUACAACCGAUGAGUGAUCUAUUUUUAUUAUUUUCAAAGGAUUGCUCAUCUGCUGUAACAGGUAGGUUAUAAGUUGCAACAGAAAACCUACUUGGUACAACCGAUGAGUGAUCUAUUUUUAUUAUUUUCAAAGGAUUGCUCAUCUGCUGUAACAGGUAGGUUAUAAGUUGCAACAGAAAACCUACUUGGUACAACCGAUGAGUGAUCUAUUUUUAUUAUUUUCAAAGGAUUGCUCAUCUGCUGUAACAGGUAGGUUAUAAGUUGCAACAGAAAACCUACUUGGUACAACCGAUGAGUGAUCUAUUUUUAUUAUUUUCAAAGGAUUGCUCAUCUGCUGUAACAGGUAGGUUAUAAGUUGCAACAGAAAACCUACUUGGUACAACCGAUGAGUGAUCUAUUUUUAUUAUUUUCAAAGGAUUGCUCAUCUGCUGUAACAGGUAGGUUAUAAGUUGCAACAGAAAACCUACUUGGUACAACCGAUGAGUGAUCUAUUUUUAUUAUUUUCAAAGGAUUGCUCAUCUGCUGUAACAGGUAGGUUAUAAGUUGCAACAGAAAACCUACUUGGUACAACCGAUGAGUGAUCUAUUUUUAUUAUUUUCAAAGGAUUGCUCAUCUGCUGUAACAGGUAGGUUAUAAGUUGCAACAGAAAACCUACUUGGUACAACCGAUGAGUGAUCUAUUUUUAUUAUUUUCAAAGGAUUGCUCAUCUGCUGUAACAGGUAGGUUAUAAGUUGCAACAGAAAACCUACUUGGUACAACCGAUGAGUGAUCUAUUUUUAUUAUUUUCAAAGGAUUGCUCAUCUGCUGUAACAGGUAGGUUAUAAGUUGCAACAGAAAACCUACUUGGUACAACCGAUGAGUGAUCUAUUUUUAUUAUUUUCAAAGGAUUGCUCAUCUGCUGUAACAGGUAGGUUAUAAGUUGCAACAGAAAACCUACUUGGUACAACCGAUGAGUGAUCUAUUUUUAUUAUUUUCAAAGGAUUGCUCAUCUGCUGUAACAGGUAGGUUAUAAGUUGCAACAGAAAACCUACUUGGUACAACCGAUGAGUGAUCUAUUUUUAUUAUUUUCAAAGGAUUGCUCAUCUGCUGUAACAGGUAGGUUAUAAGUUGCAACAGAAAACCUACUUGGUACAACCGAUGAGUGAUCUAUUUUUAUUAUUUUCAAAGGAUUGCUCAUCUGCUGUAACAGGUAGGUUAUAAGUUGCAACAGAAAACCUACUUGGUACAACCGAUGAGUGAUCUAUUUUUAUUAUUUUCAAAGGAUUGCUCAUCUGCUGUAACAGGUAGGUUAUAAGUUGCAACAGAAAACCUACUUGGUACAACCGAUGAGUGAUCUAUUUUUAUUAUUUUCAAAGGAUUGCUCAUCUGCUGUAACAGGUAGGUUAUAAGUUGCAACAGAAAACCUACUUGGUACAACCGAUGAGUGAUCUAUUUUUAUUAUUUUCAAAGGAUUGCUCAUCUGCUGUAACAGGUAGGUUAUAAGUUGCAACAGAAAACCUACUUGGUACAACCGAUGAGUGAUCUAUUUUUAUUAUUUUCAAAGGAUUGCUCAUCUGCUGUAACAGGUAGGUUAUAAGUUGCAACAGAAAACCUACUUGGUACAACCGAUGAGUGAUCUAUUUUUAUUAUUUUCAAAGGAUUGCUCAUCUGCUGUAACAGGUAGGUUAUAAGUUGCAACAGAAAACCUACUUGGUACAACCGAUGAGUGAUCUAUUUUUAUUAUUUUCAAAGGAUUGCUCAUCUGCUGUAACAGGUAGGUUAUAAGUUGCAACAGAAAACCUACUUGGUACAACCGAUGAGUGAUCUAUUUUUAUUAUUUUCAAAGGAUUGCUCAUCUGCUGUAACAGGAAGAUUGAGGAAAUGGGCCACUAAAGCCCAUUGAUUUAGAGAUCCAAAAGGCCCAAGUGAAAGGGGAAAAUUAGUCAUUGACCAAUUUGAGUUAAUCAGCUGCAAAUAUAAGGAGAAAGUCGGUCGAAUGUCUCCUUAAAAAGGGACCAAAACCGAGCUCCCUAGGUUAAUCAACAAAAGACCAAAAAUUUCAGAUUUUCUCUCUAAGUUUCUCUUGGCAUUUCUUCACCUUGGAAGGCAACCAAAGGCUACUUUUUGAGUUCUAGAAUUAUACCUACACCUUGGGAGUUAAGGUAUGUAAAAAUAACCAUAUAUUUGAUACGAAUUUUGCAUGGAAAACAAGAUAAGUUGGCUGGUUCACUGUGCAGGAAUUUCUGGACAGCUUGUGUCGUGAAAGUUGUUGUUUGGUUUUCUUGGCUUUGGAACGAUUCUUACCCUGAUUUUUGACUUUAAUAUGAUAUAAAGUUGAGGUUAUUAACAUGUUAUAGUGUGUAUAUAGUUGCCAAGGUUGCUGGACUGUAUUGCCAGUUCUUUGGAAACAAGUAUCCUUAUAUGAUCUUAUGUGCUUCCAAAAUGGUAUUGGACUGUUUUGUUGAGGGGGCUGUUGUUUCACGUUUCCCCCUACGUUUUGAGCUAUUUUGUGACUAUGUUAAGAUUUAUUUGAUGUAUAUGUAUGUUGGGAGCAUCUGGUUCAAAGUUGGGACAAGUAUGAAUUGUUAACGACGAAAUGUAGGGAGACGACGAGAUGUUGUGCUUCUUAGUUGAGCAUUUAGUAAAAUGGUUAUGUGUUGUAGUUAUGGACUGUUGCCAG
RNAcentral lists this long non-coding RNA (8287 nucleotides) under Capsicum annuum. RNAcentral describes it as "long non-coding RNA (CANN_LNC008185)". Lineage: Eukaryota; Viridiplantae; Streptophyta; Magnoliopsida; Solanales; Solanaceae. The record is from RNAcentral.